GACGAACCCGUGCGAACGUUGUUCGGAAUCACUGGGCUUAAAGGGCGCGUAGGCGGGCUGGCAAGUCCGGGGUGAAAUCCGUCGGCUCAACCGCCGGACUGCCUCGGAUACUGCCGGCCUGGAGGCGGGUAGGGGCGGCGGAACUCUGGGUGGAGCGGUGAAAUGCGUUGAUAUCCAGAGGAACUCCGGUGGCGAAGGCGGCCCGCUGGACCCGGUCUGACGCUGAGGCGCGAAAGCCAGGGGAGCGAAC
RNAcentral lists this ribosomal RNA (250 nucleotides) under uncultured bacterium. Its description in RNAcentral is "partial 16S ribosomal RNA". It matches the Rfam family "Bacterial small subunit ribosomal RNA", at positions 524 to 773 of the family's 1533-position model. The record is from RNAcentral.